UCUAGAAUUCUAAAUAUGGGAUGAACAUCGAACAUUGUCUAGGUUGGAGACAAAUUCAGACUCCUCUUUUCUUACUAAGAUUUGAACUUAAAAAUCGUAGUAUCAAGUCUUGGGAUCUUCAUGAAUAUUUUAGGCCUACAUUUUCUCUUUCCAUA
Populus trichocarpa (black cottonwood) is the source of this 155-nucleotide non-coding RNA. The record is from Rfam. Lineage: Eukaryota; Viridiplantae; Streptophyta; Magnoliopsida; Malpighiales; Salicaceae.